UGGGAUCCCAGGACACGGAGGAAGGCCACUGGGAGACUCCUCAGGCCUCAGGCUCUGAAGGAAUUCCACUCACAAAGCUCAACUUUCACGGAUCCCUUUGUGUUCCCUGCUUCCUGCCUGCCAGACUAGUUUCACCCAACCUCUGCCAGGUCUCAGCAGUGGACUGAAUUCACGGCAGUAGCCUUGGUGACCCCUAGUGGCCUUCCCUUCUCUGGAGUAGACCUGAUCUAGCCUCAACACCAAACUGAGACCUCAGCCUCAACACCUGGCUCAGCCUCAACACCUAACUGAGACCUCAGGCUCCCCACUGUCCUACAGAUGGUCCCCCAGUGCCAUCGCCGGCCUUCAAAGGUUUCCACCAUCUAGAGGAGAAGCCGCUUGGGGCACCAGUGUCUGGGCUGCAUGGUGCCCUCAAGAGCUGACUGCAGUCUGGAAUCUUGCCCUCUGCAGCCAGGAGAGACAGCCCUUGUCCACGCCUAUUUAAUCCAUUCAUUUACCCACCCAAUGACUGUGGAGCCCAGCCUAUGGUACAGUUACUAUUUGGUGCUGGAGAUAGACAGUUUAGCAAACCACAGCCCAGCCUACCUUCCUGGAGAUUAAAAUCCAAUGGGAAAUCAGACAUUGAUCAAAAAUGUACACAAACGUGGAAAACAACAUCUGGAGUUGAUGGAGACAGAGUGGUCCCCAACACCUGCACGCAUUUGUCCUUGCUGGGGAGGGCAGGGCACACUUGAGUUGAGGCCUGAAGGCUGCAGAGGACAGGAGGUGAGCCUCCAAAAGGCAUAGCAGGGUUUGCUUUUGGGGUGGGGCAUGCAUCGGAGGGGGCAGGAUGGAGGUGGGGUGAGCAGCUAGGGAGUCAUGGCAGGUGUAGGGCGGGAAGUGAUGCUGCGGGGCAGUGUGGCGCAGGUGGGGGAGAGCAGACACAUUUGCCAUCUCUGCAGAGCCACUUUCCCUCCUGAGAUGAGCCAGGUGGCAGCAGGCUCUGGUCCUGACCUCCAGCAUGAAUGCGGCCUGAGCUCUGCCAUGGCCCCCCUUCGCCGGUUUUCCCUGGCUUUUGCUCUGCUUAUUUUUCCAGGGUCACCACCUGUGUCUGAGCUCUGCCAUGGCUCCCCCUCACUGGCUGUCCCUGGCCUUUGCUCUGCUGAUUUUUCCAAGGUCACCGCCUGUGGACGGGGGUACCCUGAGCUGACGAUGCUGCCCAGGCAGUGGUCCUGGGCCAUGGGGCCCUGCCAUGGCUUCCCCCAAUGAGUCAGCCCUCCUUCGGCCGACUCCUAUGCACCCCUUUGCCGUAAAGGCCUUUUGCUUUUCUGCCCGGCUCCAGACAGGCACUGUGCACUCAGCCCUGCCGUUCCCACUCAACCCUAACCACUUGGCCUGAGAAGGAGCCUCCGGCUCCUGUGUUGAGUGGGUGGGGAGGUAGCAGCCCAGCCAGGGCCUCGGUAGGCAGAGCUUGACAUCCGGACAGGACCCUUGCUCUCU
RNAcentral lists this long non-coding RNA (1479 nucleotides) under Homo sapiens (human). RNAcentral's name for it is "HSALNT0177683". The record is from RNAcentral. Lineage: Eukaryota; Metazoa; Chordata; Mammalia; Primates; Hominidae.